GGCGGCACUUGGGUGAUGCAUUCCGGAAUCGGGCUCCCUCCUCUCUGGUUCUGGGUGCAUCCCCCGAGAACCACA
This is a non-coding RNA of Myotis davidii, 75 nucleotides long. NCBI's taxonomy places the organism in Eukaryota, Metazoa, Chordata, Mammalia, Chiroptera, Vespertilionidae. The record is from Rfam.